Molecule: ribosomal RNA, 501 nt
Filed under: uncultured bacterium
Lineage: Bacteria
Description: partial 16S ribosomal RNA
Rfam family: Bacterial small subunit ribosomal RNA
Source: RNAcentral
GAUGAACGCUAGCGGCAGGCUUAAUACAUGCAAGUCGAGGGGCAGCACAGAUAGCAAUAUUGGGUGGCGACCGGCAAACGGGUGCGGAACACGUACACAACCUUCCUUUUAGUGUGGGAUAGCCCAGAGAAAUUUGGAUUAAUACCACAUAGUAUAUUGGAGUGGCAUCACUUUGAUAUUAAAGAUUUAUCGCUAAAAGAUGGGUGUGCGUAUGAUUAGGUAGUUGGUAGAGGUAACGGCUCACCAAGCCUUCGAUCAUUAACUGGUGUGAGAGCACGACCAGUCACACGGGCACUGAGACACGGGCCCGACUCCUACGGGAGGCAGCAGUAAGGAAUAUUGGUCAAUGGACGGAAGUCUGAACCAGCCAUGCCGCGUGAAGGGUGACGGCCCUCUGGGUUGUAAACUUCUUUUAUGUGGGACGAAAAAGGGCCAUUCUUGGUCAACUGACGGUACCAUAGGAAUAAGCACCGGCUAACUCCGUGCCAGCAGCCGCCGUAA